This 304-nucleotide unclassified non-coding RNA is filed under the name Myxococcus sp. 116809. RNAcentral's name for it is "partial RNAseP RNA". It matches the Rfam family "Bacterial RNase P class A", at positions 60 to 326 of the family's 367-position model. Rfam says of the family: Ribonuclease P (RNase P) is a ubiquitous endoribonuclease, found in archaea, bacteria and eukarya as well as chloroplasts and mitochondria. Its best characterised activity is the generation of mature 5'-ends of tRNAs by cleaving the 5'-leader elements of precursor-tRNAs. The record is from RNAcentral. Lineage: Bacteria; Pseudomonadati; Myxococcota; Myxococcia; Myxococcales; Myxococcaceae.
CAGAGGGCAGGUGCUGGCUAACGGCCAGUCGAGGCGACUCGCAGGAAAGUGCCACAGAAAACAAACCGCCCGUUCCGAAAGGGGCGGGUAAGGGUGAAACGGUGCGGUAAGAGCGCACCGCGUCCGGGGUGACUCGGACGGCACGGUAAACCCCACCUGGAGCAAGAGCCAAUAGGAGCGCGUCCUCCGCCGUACGGGAGGACAGGGAUGGCCCGUCCCAUGCGUUCGGGUUGCUCGCUGAUGAGGCCCCUGGGCAACCAGGGCCCUAGACGAAUGUUCACCGCCCAUCCCGAAAGGGGUGGGA